Limulus polyphemus (Atlantic horseshoe crab) is the source of this 2483-nucleotide long non-coding RNA. RefSeq lists it as uncharacterized. Lineage: Eukaryota; Metazoa; Arthropoda; Merostomata; Xiphosura; Limulidae. The record is from RefSeq and is a predicted model, not a curated record. The transcript is spliced from 2 exons.
UUACGUGACGCUAGUUGUUCUCCAGCGGGUGUGCUGUGCAGUGCUCGUUAUGUAACACAUCGCAUUCUCGUGUUCUGUACACGUAAGCAGUUCUGAAUUAUUUCUACCUAUGAAUGUGAUUUUCUUCGAUAGAUAUUUACCGUUUCACUUCUUUUAAAAAUGAAUGCUCAUUAUCAUAACUGAAACCGAUUUUUCCAUUUAUAUUAUUGGAGAUAAUUUGUGUUCGAAAUUUUGCGUGUAGCUUAUGUCAGUUAUAUUUAGUGCUGCCUUUACUUGACAGAAUCCAAAUAUAAUCCAGCGUCAGAGUUGGGAACGUAAUGUAAAUAUUUCGAUAUUCAGUGGUUUCUUUAAAGCACCUCUAUUUCAGCCAGUGAAACUAAGUUGGUUACGAUUUUCGAAUGGUGAAACAUCAAAUUUUAAGGUAAUUUACAAGGAAUUUUAUUUAGCCUUCGGAAGUAAUGAAUAUCUCUGAAAAUGCUUUACAUUGUGGAAGGUGGAUUGUUUUCAGUCCCAUUCAACAUCAACUGUUAUGAACAAUAAUAUGGCUAAAAUAUCUUUAAAGUAAAAUAAUUUGAACACAACAGCUGCUUCUAGGUUUUCUUCGGAUCGAUCUAUGACGUCCACUACAAGACUCUAGUAUUUAUGCCUGUACAUCCUUGUAUCCAUACCUGGAUGGACUCCAGGCAAUCCAUCGCCAGAAGAGAUUGUGGAUGCGAACAUAGCUUCAUCGAUGAAAUUCCCCUACCUCUUCCGCCCCCUGAAGAAUGCGUUCAUCCGUAUGAUCAUCCUGUUUUCACGCGGCAUCGCCGUUGGAAGGAGCAAGACGGGGCUUGGAUGGGACUGAGCUCUGUAGCUAUAACACUGAUCGCUAUUUUUAUCAUAGGCUUUAUCGUCUUAUCUCCACUCCUGCACUAUUUGAUGUAGCCAGAACAUCGUGUGACGGCUCAUGUAAUGUAUGAGAUUCCUUGUGUAUGCCUCCGACUGAAUGGCUUUACUUGUUAAAAAUUCAACAUUGUUCUAAAGUAAUGAGUAAUGACUACACAUUUUAAAAUCAUCGAAAAUCUUUCAAGCUCUAAUCUUAGCGUAAUAUAGUUGAUGAUGGCCACCAAUGCAGCAUUCUGCUGCUUGUGAGAUUAUAAACUACUGAUAGUCUCACCUCAAUAAGUGAAACGUUGGGUAUGAUGAUGAGAAGAGGAUGAUCGAUCUCCAUCCCUGAGUGCCACGAUUACUUUCUGAUUUUACGCCUAGCUGAACUGAUUCAAAUUAACCUCGUUUCCUGUUGAAAAUCUCCACGCUCAAUAAACUGUGUGAAGCCGUAAAAUUUCCAAUGGAGAAAUAAAUACAAAUAAGGGGGUUACAUCCCUUUAUGGAAAAUAGUGUAGGGUAAAUGCGGAUGAAGAUCCUUUCUUAUGGAAAGAAGAAAUUAUUCUAGAGUAUAAUCCAUACUUAUGGAGAAGAGUGAAGUCUGAUGUUAUAAAAAGAUAUUUCCUGUUAUGAGAAACAGUGAAAUACAAAAACAAAGACAUCAUCGUCUGGAAAGAGCACACGAAAGCUCCAUCUUUGUUCUCACACGUUGUGGUAUUUGUAGAAGAGUGUAUAUUAAACUGUGAUAUUCUCUAUUAUAUCACAAAGAUAAGACAUGUAAGGAUAAUGAUAUUCUUUUACAGCGCUUGUACCUUCAAAAACACUUUUGUGAUUUGUAAGGCGUAAACGAGUCAAAAGAUAUUACUGUGAUCGCUUUGACGACGUUAACUUUUGUAAGAGAGAUAAUGUUGUGAUUUGUAAAUUCAAAUGAUUCAAGAAACAUAAAGUUGAUUUGUACGAGCUAUACACGAUUCAAUAAAUAAUAUUGUGAUUGUGCAAGGUAAAGUAUCUAAAAAAAUAUUAUUGAAAUAUAUUUCCCGUAAACAAGUCAAAAGGUAUUAAACGCAAGCGAGUCAAGAGAUAUAGCUGAGAUUUUUCAACUGUAAACGAGUCAAGAAAGAUUAUUAUACUUUCUAUACUGUUAAUUUAUUAUCAGGAUAUUUUAUUCUAAUAUUUACAUUAUAGACGAUUCAAGAGGUAUUGUUAUGAUUUCUACGACUUAGUCGUGUCAAAAAUAUACCUUUUGUUUUUACUUUACAUAAUAUUUUAUUCCUUAAUAUGAAAAAUACAGUUAACAAGCAUUUCUUCAAGUACUCAAGAAAAUUAGAGGAAUGAAUGUUUCACGUGUUCAUUACAUUUGUAAGUGUUUUUAUUAUCUUGCACGGUUUCACGUGAUCAAUAUUAAGAUACAAUUACUACAAAAGCUAUAAUGAUAAUAACAUAUUCUAAUUUAACGUUUAACCAAAAUGUAUUCCCAUAGUUAAUAUGUUUCUGUAACAUUUAAGGAUACGAAACUUCUGUUUCUAGUUUUAUAGAACAAGACUUAUAGUUUAGAUGAUGGUUCUUUAUUAAUACGCUAGUAUCAAAAUGUAUUUGGGUAAUAAAACUUUGGCAAAUGA